CCGGUUGAUCCUGCCGGCGGGCACCGCUAUUGGAAUGCGCUUAAGCCAUGCGAGUCGAGAGGUGCAAGACCUCGGCAGACGACUCAGUAACACGCGGAUAACCUGCCCUAUGGUGGGGGAUAAUCUCGGGAAACUGAGAAUAACACCCCAUAGAUCUAGGAUGCUGGAAUGCUUCUAGGUUGAAACGCGAGGCCAUAGGAUGGGUCUGCGGCCUAUCAGGCUGUAGUGGGUGUAACGGACCCACUAACCUUCGACGGGUACGGGCUUUGAGAGAAGUUGCCCGGAGUUGGAUUCUGAGACAUGAAUCCAGGCCCUACGGGGCGCAGCAGGCGCGAAAACUGCACAAUGUGGGAAACCACGAUGCGGGUAUUCCAAGUGCUGUCACUUAGUGACAGCUGUUCCCUUGCCUUAAAAGCAAGAGGAGUAAGGGCCGGGUAAGACGGGUGCCAGCCGCCGCGGUAAUACCCGCGGCCCGAGUGGUGCUCAUUAUUAUUGAGCCUAAAACGUCCGUAGCUGGUCCAAUAAAUCCCUGGGUAAAUCGAACUGCUCAACAGUCCGAACUCCGGGGAGACUGUUGGACUUGGGACCGGGAGAGCUCUAGGGUACUUCGGGGGUAGGGGUGAAAUCCUGUAAUCCUCGAGGGACCACCAGUGGCGAAGGCGCUAGAGUAGAACGGAUCCGACAGUAAGGGACGAAGCCCUGGGGCGCAAACGGGAUUAGAUACCCGGGUAGUCCCAGCUGUAAACGAUGCUCGCUAGGUGUCAGGUGCGGUGCGACCGCAUCUGGUGCCGUAGUGAAAACUUGAAGCGAGUCACCUGGGAAGUACGGUCGCAAGGCUGAAACUUAAAGGAAUUGGCGGGGGAGCACUACAACGGGUGGAGCCUGCGGUUCAAUUGGAUUCAACGCCGGG
RNAcentral lists this ribosomal RNA (910 nucleotides) under uncultured archaeon. RNAcentral's name for it is "bacterial SSU rRNA". It matches the Rfam family "Archaeal small subunit ribosomal RNA", at positions 4 to 922 of the family's 1478-position model. The record is from RNAcentral.